CAUUGUUGAGCCUAUGUUACUACUGCUGGCUAGCAAACACGCCAUGUCGUGUCUGAUCUGUUUGAGACAACCCGCUCACUUCCGUUGGUUGUGCGCCCGAACGUCCGAGAGGGAGAGAGGGAUCGCUUGGUGGCUACAAUGGAAGAAUGACCACAGCAACCCUUUCAACCUUCAUAGCAUGCAGAAUCAGGUGAGGAAGCUGAGUGACACAGACAAGAUGUUUCCCAGUGGAGCGAUGAACAACACCAGACGCACCUGAGGAGCAGAAAAGCCAAGAGUGGCAAUUACAGCUAAAUACCAGCUGUUCCAGGAUUCCCAUCAACAUCUGGAGCCACUGGAGCAAUCCUCAUUACCUGGCGCUACUGGUGUCUGAGAGGCAGGAAGGAUUAUCGGAAGCUGUGGGAGGACAGGACAAAAAGAAUGCGAGGAAACUGCCUGAAUAGCAAGAGGUUGGUGAAGAUGCUGGUGCUGGAGAUGGACCAGUGGUAAAGGACACCGACCAGUGAUGUUGAGACACGGGUUUAAACCCAGCCUGAGGUACCCCGUCUCACACAAGUGUGUGUAUGUGUGGGUGUUUGUGUGUGUGUACUUUCAUUUGUCUGCUCCAAAUAACAAAAAUUUCAA
Long non-coding RNA from Sander lucioperca (pikeperch), 624 nucleotides. RefSeq lists it as uncharacterized. The record is from RefSeq and is a predicted model, not a curated record. NCBI's taxonomy places the organism in Eukaryota, Metazoa, Chordata, Actinopteri, Perciformes, Percidae. The transcript has 5 exons.